CCUAGGCUGAGGUAUUGAGACUGCCAUCUCAUCCAGUCAAUUUACAACCCCAUUUUUCCUCAGUUCUGGAUUGGGCAGAGGUUAAGGUUGAAACCUUAACCUAGCAAGCUGCUUCUAGCCAGGUAAGGCUUUUUCUGUCUCAGAUCAGAAGGGUGUAUGGCAAGGACACAAAAUGCUGAGUAUCCUAAAGACUCUGGGGGAACUGGAUUCCUUCCCCAGCCUAUAAGAAAGCAUUCCAUGCAUUAGGUGUGUUAUGAUGGAUUUUUAAAAAAACACUCAGCUUCCUUAUCAACAAAAGAGCCAUUUAAAUAUUUUUGGUUAUAUAUUUAAUGGUCUGUUUGUUAACAAAUGCAAAUUAGAAACCUGAAAAGGGAAUGGUUAGGGAGGGACUUAGUUUCCUUCCAAGUUUGAGUCUUUGAUGCAAGGAAUUCAAGCUUAAGCAGUCACGUGGACCAAUGCUUGACUUUUUCGUGGCUAUAGGAAAAGCAGUUUUCUGCAGAGGGAUCCAAGAUGGGAGUGUGUGUGUGUGUAGGGUUUGCAGUUACACUUCUGGGAAAUGAGAGGUUCCUGUUCCUCUUCACCUACAGAUGGGUUUGCUGCUUAAUGAGUGAGCAGUAAUUGUGUUGAAGAGGUCAAUGCAUGCCCCUCAGGUAAGCCAGUGCACACUUCACUUUAAACAAUAGGAUACCAGAGUGGUAUGGUGGUGGUGUGGUCAGGGGCAGGAUGUGGAUGCCAUUUUGAAAACAGGCAAAUACCAGAGUGACUACAACAAACGGAGUGUGUUGGGAGGUUGUUUUUUGGCAGCAGUUUUGUGUGUGAGCUUCUAUGGUAUUUCUUUAGCAAUUGAUUAGAAAGCAAUAUGAGAUGAAUUGUGCUUUACCGGUUGCUCUUCCCCUGUACCUGCCAAAUGUGACUGUAUCACUCUUACCCCUGCCUCCUGUGAUGACACUUUGCUGUACUUAGGCUAGUUGUCUCAGCAGUUCUCCCUGCCACAUGUGCUCACGUGU
RNAcentral lists this long non-coding RNA (1007 nucleotides) under Bos taurus (domestic cattle). Its description in RNAcentral is "long non-coding RNA NONBTAT015562". Lineage: Eukaryota; Metazoa; Chordata; Mammalia; Artiodactyla; Bovidae. The record is from RNAcentral.